Molecule: ribosomal RNA, 468 nt
Filed under: uncultured bacterium
Lineage: Bacteria
Description: partial 16S ribosomal RNA
Rfam family: Bacterial small subunit ribosomal RNA
Source: RNAcentral
GACGAACGCUGGCGGCGUGCUUAAUACAUGCAAGUCGAACGGAAAGGCCCUGCGUUUGUGGGGUGCUCGAGUGGCGAACGGGGGAGUAACACGUGAGUAAAAUGCCCUUGACUGAGGGAUAACUCCAGGAAACUGGGGCUAAUACAGGAUAGGAGCUCCUGCUGCACGGGGGGGGUAGGAGAGUUUCGGCGGUUGGGGAUGGACUCGCGGCUUAUCAGCUUGUUGGUGGGGUAGUGGCGUACCAAGGCUUCGACGGGUAGCCGGCCUGGGAGGGUGACCGGCCACCUUGGGACUGCGAUACGGCCCAGACUCCAACGGGAGGCAGCAGUGGGGAAUAUUGCGCAGUGGGCGGAAGCCUGUUGCGGCAGCCCCGCGUGCGGGAUGACGGCCUUCUGGUUGUAAACCGCUUUCGCCUGUGCCGAAGCGUGAGUGACGGUACUUGGUAAAGAAGCACCGGCUAACUACGUG